This 72-nucleotide transfer RNA is filed under the name Camelus bactrianus (Bactrian camel). It matches the Rfam family "tRNA". Rfam says of the family: Transfer RNA (tRNA) molecules are approximately 80 nucleotides in length. Their secondary structure includes four short double-helical elements and three loops (D, anti-codon, and T loops). Further hydrogen bonds mediate the characteristic L-shaped molecular structure. tRNAs have two regions of fundamental functional importance: the anti-codon, which is responsible for specific mRNA codon recognition, and the 3' end, to which the tRNAs corresponding amino acid is attached (by aminoacyl-tRNA synthetases). tRNAs cope with the degeneracy of the genetic code in two manners: having more than one tRNA (with a specific anti-codon) for a particular amino acid; and 'wobble' base-pairing, i.e. permitting non-standard base-pairing at the 3rd anti-codon position. Lineage: Eukaryota; Metazoa; Chordata; Mammalia; Artiodactyla; Camelidae. The record is from Rfam by way of RNAcentral. RNAcentral also lists the same sequence under 2 other names.
AAGGGUAUAGCUCGGUGGUAGAGCGCAUGUCUAGGAUGCACAAGGUCCUGGGUUCAAUCUCCAGUACCUUCA